AACGAACGCUGGCGGCAUGCCUAACACAUGCAAGUCGAACGAAGUCUUCGGACUUAGUGGCGCACGGGUGCGUAACGCGUGGGAAUCUGCCCUUGGGUGCGGAAUAACUUCUCGAAAGGAAUGCUAAUACCGCAUAAUGUCGUAAGACCAAAGAUUUAUCGCCCAAGGAUGAGCCCGCGUAAGAUUAGCUAGUUGGUGGGGUAAAAGCCUACCAAGGCGACGAUCUUUAGCUGGUCUGAGAGGAUGAUCAGCCACACUGGGACUGAGACACGGCCCAGACUCCUACGGGAGGCAGCAGUGGGGAAUAUUGGACAAUGGGCGAAAGCCUGAUCCAGCAAUGCCGCGUGAGUGAUGAAGGCCCUAGGGUUGUAAAGCUCUUUUACCAGGGAUGAUAAUGACAGUACCGGGAGAAUAAGCACCGGCUAACUCCGUGCCAGCAGCCGCGGUAAU
This 450-nucleotide ribosomal RNA is filed under the name uncultured bacterium. RNAcentral describes it as "bacterial SSU rRNA". It matches the Rfam family "Bacterial small subunit ribosomal RNA", at positions 29 to 524 of the family's 1533-position model. The record is from RNAcentral.